Dendroctonus ponderosae (mountain pine beetle) is the source of this 629-nucleotide long non-coding RNA. RefSeq lists it as uncharacterized. The record is from RefSeq and is a predicted model, not a curated record. The transcript is spliced from 3 exons. Lineage: Eukaryota; Metazoa; Arthropoda; Insecta; Coleoptera; Curculionidae.
UAAAUUACAUUAUUACCCCAUUGUACCCGCAAAUUGAACAACGUUUGCACAAAACUAUACAGUUUAUGUGGAUACAAAAGCAUAACCGAUAUUAUUGUCAUUGUUAAAUGAAUUUAAUUAUCCAGCCUGCCUGUAAAUCUUUACUCGACGUUAAUCUUUCUAUGCGUAAAUGAUGUCCUCAUAAAGUGUCUAUAUACUUAACUAUACACAUCGAAUUUAAAUAUCAGUUUCCUGAACACUCUGCCACACGUUACUUGCAGUUCAUACGCUCUAAUUCUGAUGAUUACAACUUUCGAGCAAAAAAUUUUUUGGAUUUUAUUUUCCUUCUUGUGUACCGUGUUAAUGAUACUUAGCAGUGUUCGAUUAUGUCAAUUGAUUAGUGAGAAGUUUUUCGCAAACAGAGAUCGAAUCGUUAUAAUUGGUGAAGAAGGCAACUUAACAAUUAUUGACCCACGACGUGACAUUGAAAACCCAAACGACUUCUUUACAGUAAAACAGUCAUACAAAAAUUUAGCACCGCCGUUAUAUUCAACGUUAUCAAAAGCUAAAUCGUUUUCUUCGUAUGAAUUGCCGCCUCCAUAUCCAGUUGUUCAUAUUUAAUAAAUUUAUACAAUAAAACAUUAUUCAAA